GGGCCCGCACAAGCAGCGGAGCAUGUGGUUUAAUUCGAAGCAACGCGAAGAACCUUACCAAGGCUUGACAUCUACCUAAACUCAUGGAAACAUGAGGUCCCUUCGGGGGAGGUAAGACAGGUGGUGCAUGGUUGUCGUCAGCUCGUGUCGUGAGAUGUUGGGUUAAGUCCCGCAACGAGCGCAACCCCUAUUGCCAGUUACCAGCACGUAAAGGUGGGAACUCUGGUGAGACCGCCGGGGACAACUCGGAGGAAGGUGGGGACGACGUCAAAUCAUCAUGCCCCUUAUGUCUUGGGCUACACACGUGCUACAAUGGCCGUUACAGAGGGCAGCAAGAGGGUAACCUUAAGCAAAUCUACAAAAAGCGGUCUCAGUUCGGAUCGUGGGCUGCAACCCGCCCACGUGAAGUCGGAGUUGCUAGUAAUCGCGAAUCAGCAUGUCG
Molecule: ribosomal RNA, 442 nt
Filed under: uncultured Bacillota bacterium
Lineage: Bacteria; Bacillati; Bacillota
Description: bacterial SSU rRNA
Rfam family: Bacterial small subunit ribosomal RNA
Source: RNAcentral